Impatiens glandulifera is the source of this 89-nucleotide small nucleolar RNA. NCBI's taxonomy places the organism in Eukaryota, Viridiplantae, Streptophyta, Magnoliopsida, Ericales, Balsaminaceae. The record is from RefSeq and is a predicted model, not a curated record.
UGAUGGCAAAUGAUGAAUCUUUAAAACAAAUCGGUAAUUUGCGACUGAAACAUUUGAUGUUAAUUCACCUUGGAGAACUGAUGCCAUUU